GAUGAACGCUGGCGGCGUGCCUAAUACAUGCAAGUCGAGCGAACAGACGAGGAGCUUGCUCCUCUGACGUUAGCGGCGGACGGGUGAGUAACACGUGGAUAACCUACCUAUAAGACUGGGAUAACUUCGGGAAACCGGAGCUAAUACCGGAUAACAUGUUGAACCGCAUGGUUCAACAGUGAAAGACGGUCUUGCUGUCACUUAUAGAUGGAUCCGCGCCGCAUUAGCUAGUUGGUAAGGUAACGGCUUACCAAGGCAACGAUGCGUAGCCGACCUGAGAGGGUGAUCGGCCACCCUGGAACUGAGACACGGUCCAGACUCCUACGGGAGGCAGCAGUAGGGAAUCUUCCGCAAUGGGCGAAAGCCUGACGGAGCAACGCCGCGUGAGUGAAGAAGGUCUUCGGAUCGUAAAACUCUGUUAUUAGGGAAGAACAAAUGUGUAAGUAACGAUGCACGUCUUGACGGUACCUAAUCAGAAAGCCACGGCUAACUACGU
RNAcentral lists this ribosomal RNA (496 nucleotides) under uncultured bacterium. RNAcentral describes it as "partial 16S ribosomal RNA". It matches the Rfam family "Bacterial small subunit ribosomal RNA", at positions 28 to 506 of the family's 1533-position model. The record is from RNAcentral.